This 984-nucleotide long non-coding RNA is filed under the name Trifolium pratense (red clover). Its description in RNAcentral is "long non-coding RNA (TPRA_LNC012334)". Lineage: Eukaryota; Viridiplantae; Streptophyta; Magnoliopsida; Fabales; Fabaceae. The record is from RNAcentral.
CCCAUCCGUAUUCAAUCUAACCAAAUUCUCUAUAUUUGUAUGGGAUUUGUACUUUUCGCACUCCCUGCAAUGUCUCAGUCACCCCCUGAAAUGACUAAACUAUCCUUCUCGCUUUGUAGGAUGCGAGCACGUCGAUCGCGUUGCAGAAAGCGAGGGGUUAUAUGUAGGUGACCUUUGAAUUCACCCACCCCCCAGACAUUUAACAUGUUCUCUAUCUAAGAUGCGAACACAUCUUAUUUUAAAAGCAUCGCCGUCUAGGAUGCGAACACGUCUUAAUUAUAAGACGUCUUCAUCUUCUUCUUUCCCAUUUCAACAAUUUCUAAAAAACUAGGAGGAGUAUUGGCCUACUGGUAAACUGGUAAAAUUGAAGGUUUAUUGGCCGUUUGUGGUUGAAAACAACAAAAGGAAGUUAUGUUUUAAAACACAAUACUCACAAACCCAUUGCCCAAACCCUCAAUUCUCCCAAAACCUUAGUUCGUCGAAAUUGAAGGUUUCUUUGUCGUUUAGGGUCGCAAUAAUCAAAGGAGCAAAGAGUACUAUAAGGUAAAAGCUUCCUUCCCGUUUAUUUUUCUAUAUGCAUGACUGUUUUGGUUCGCGUUGUCGUCGGCGAACAGUGAACCUGUGUUCGCUUACCGAAAAGUGAUACGAAUUAAUCGUUCGCUUCACAGUAAGCGAGCGUAUAUUCUGCCUGUUGUUUCUUUUGUUGUCAUUUGGUUUGGAUAGUAGGUGUAGGAAUAAAUUGCUUUGUUUUUUUUUGCUUGUUUGUGAUGUUUAGAUAUGGGAAAUACAUCCAAAGAUGCUGAUAGAGGGAACGUGCCACCAAGGCUAGUGCAUCUGCCAGGAAGGAAAAGGCGGCUCAGAAUCCUCCGAAGAAGCGGUCACGGAAAGCUCCAGCUAUGUCAGAUGCUGCUGAGACUGUUCACCCUUAGCAUGAGGCUACGAAUGUGCAGAUUCAGGGUGAUGGUGUAGUGCGUGAGAUGGAGG